Non-coding RNA from Gymnopus androsaceus JB14, 95 nucleotides. The record is from the annotation of a GenBank genome assembly. Lineage: Eukaryota; Fungi; Basidiomycota; Agaricomycetes; Agaricales; Omphalotaceae.
GGUUCGGUGGUGUAGUGGUUAUCACGUCUGUCUCACAUCUAGAGCUCGCCUCGCAUGUGCACAGGAGGUCCCCGGUUCGAGACCGGGUCGAACCA